This 447-nucleotide ribosomal RNA is filed under the name uncultured bacterium. Its description in RNAcentral is "bacterial SSU rRNA". It matches the Rfam family "Bacterial small subunit ribosomal RNA", at positions 331 to 795 of the family's 1533-position model. The record is from RNAcentral.
CCAGACUCCUACGGGAGGCAGCAGUGGGGAAUAUUGCACAAUGGGGGAAACCCUGAUGCAGCGACGCCGCGUGAGCGAAGAAGUAUCUCGGUAUGUAAAGCUCUAUCAGCAGGGAAGAAAAUGACGGUACCUGACUAAGAAGCCCCGGCUAACUACGUGCCAGCAGCCGCGGUAAUACGUAGGGGGCAAGCGUUAUCCGGAUUUACUGGGUGUAAAGGGAGCGCAGGCGGCGCGGUAAGUCUGAUGUGAAAGCCCGGGGCUCAACCCCGGGACUGCAUUGGAAACUGUGCAGCUAGAGUGCAGGAGAGGUAAGUGGAAUUCCUAGUGUAGCGGUGAAAUGCGUAGAUAUUAGGAGGAACACCAGUGGCGAAGGCGGCUUACUGGACUGUAACUGACGUUGAGGCUCGAAAGCGUGGGGAGCAAACAGGAUUAGAUACCCUGGUAAAC